RNAcentral lists this non-coding RNA (105 nucleotides) under uncultured Clostridium sp. RNAcentral describes it as "SAM riboswitch (S box leader)". It matches the Rfam family "SAM riboswitch aptamer (S box leader)". From Rfam's summary of the family: The SAM riboswitch is found upstream of a number of genes which code for proteins involved in methionine or cysteine biosynthesis in Gram-positive bacteria. The SAM riboswitch acts at the level of transcription termination control. The predicted structure consists of a complex stem-loop region followed by a single stem loop terminator region. The record is from RNAcentral. Lineage: Bacteria; Bacillati; Bacillota; Clostridia; Eubacteriales; Clostridiaceae.
UCUUAUCAAGAGUGGUAGAGGGACUGGCCCAAUGAUACCCGGCAACCUAUUUUUAUGAAAUAUAAAUGUGGUGCUAAAUCCUGUAGCUUAAAGCUAGUAGAUGAG